This 887-nucleotide long non-coding RNA is filed under the name Lathyrus oleraceus (garden pea). RNAcentral's name for it is "Pisum sativum (pea) long non-coding RNA (PSAT_LNC014032)". Lineage: Eukaryota; Viridiplantae; Streptophyta; Magnoliopsida; Fabales; Fabaceae. The record is from RNAcentral.
AAUUGGAUUUUUUGUGAUUUGUGAAACGUGAAAUGUGAUCAGUAUUGAGUGAUUGUAUUUAUAGAGUCUUUGUUCUUCUAAUUUCUGUUAGAAAUGCCAAAUGAAAUUCAACUGAAAUAUUCAGUGAGUUGGUUAUAAAUUAGAAAACGGUUAGAGUUAAUUUCGAAAGUUUCAAACCAGUUAGUGUUUCUGUUGUGCCCCGUUGAAAAAUGCAGGAUGAAUCCUUUAGUUGUUUUCUGCUAUGCAUUUUUACAUUUGGUAUGCUUAUUAAUCGUGUUGUCGUUAGAUGAAUUAUGGGAUUGGGAUUGUGUGUUAAUGAGUGUGACAAUUGUGAAACUAGGUUAGUAAUUCUCCUUCUUAGACCUGAACUGAUGAAUUUCUAUUAGCAUAUUUUUGAAAUCAUCUCAAGCUGGAACCCGUUGGAUUACUAUUCAUGCAUUUGUAUGUUGGUGUGUUGCAGGGAAUGAUAUAGGCUGAAAGGAUAUUGAUGAGCCCAUUCAGAUAUUCGUUUCGUUGCAUCUCAGUGUUUACUGUUGCAAUGUGGGAAAGUUCUCAACACCAAAUCCGAAGAUGGACUGCCUCUGAACUGAACUCAGGUGGAUAAUUCUCUUUAUUGCAUACUCCCUCUAUGAUAUUUUACUUCAUACCCCUACACUUAGACUAAUACCCCUAUAAUUUUUUAAAAAUACCAAUUUUACCCUUAAUUGUUUUUAACCAAUUUACCAUUUCAUUUAUAACCAUUCAAUCGAUACUUCCGAAAAUUACACUUUCCACCUUCGUACCAGAACUCCUUGAAAAAGACAUCCGACAUGUAUUUUUUCCAAAUCGGAAGACUUUGUAAAAAACAUCUGGAACACUGCAAAUAGUAUACCAGAAGAGUUAUCUAA